This 74-nucleotide transfer RNA is filed under the name Aporia hastata. RNAcentral describes it as "tRNA-Leu". Lineage: Eukaryota; Metazoa; Arthropoda; Insecta; Lepidoptera; Pieridae. The record is from RNAcentral.
GCUAUUUUGGCAGAAAAAUGUAAUGGUUUUAGAAGUCAUAUAAAUAUAAUAUAUAAUUAAUUAUAUAAGUAGUA